This 433-nucleotide ribosomal RNA is filed under the name uncultured bacterium. RNAcentral describes it as "partial 16S ribosomal RNA". It matches the Rfam family "Bacterial small subunit ribosomal RNA", at positions 29 to 507 of the family's 1533-position model. The record is from RNAcentral.
AACGAACGCUGGCGGCAUGCCUAACACAUGCAAGUCGAACGAGACCUUCGGGUCUAGUGGCGCACGGGUGCGUAACGCGUGGGAACCUGCCCUUAGGUUCGGAAUAACUCCCCGAAAGGGGUGCUAAUACCGGAUAAUGUCUUCGGACCAAAGAUUUAUCGCCUUUGGAUGGGCCCGCGUUGGAUUAGCUAGUUGGUAGGGUAAAAGCCUACCAAGGCGACGAUCCAUAGCUGGUCUGAGAGGAUGAUCAGCCACACUGGGACUGAGACACGGCCCAGCCUCCUACGGGAGGCAGCAGUGGGGAAUAUUGGACAAUGGGCGAAAGCCUGAUCCAGCAAUGCCGCGUGAGUGAUGAAGGCCUUAGGGUUGUAAAGCUCUUUUACCCGGGAUGAUAAUGACAGUACCGGGAGAAUAAGCUCCGGCUAACUCCGUG